Molecule: ribosomal RNA, 253 nt
Filed under: uncultured bacterium
Lineage: Bacteria
Description: partial 16S ribosomal RNA
Rfam family: Bacterial small subunit ribosomal RNA
Source: RNAcentral
UACGGGGGGGGCAAGCGUUGUUCGGAAUUACUGGGCGUAAAGGGCCAGUAGGCGGCCAACUAAGUCGGAUGUGAAAUCCCCAGGCUUAACCUGGGAACUGCAUCCGAUACUGGAUGGCUUGAAUUCGGGAGAGGGAUGCAGAAUUCCAGGUGUAGCGGUGAAAUGCGUAGAUAUCUGGAGGAAUACCGGUGGCGAAGGCGGCAUCCUGGACCGACAUUGACGCUGAAUGGCGAAAGCUAGGGGAGCAAACGGG